This is a non-coding RNA of Arachis ipaensis, 885 nucleotides long. The record is from RefSeq and is a predicted model, not a curated record. NCBI's taxonomy places the organism in Eukaryota, Viridiplantae, Streptophyta, Magnoliopsida, Fabales, Fabaceae.
CAAGAGUGCCAUUUGAGAGGUAUUCAUGUGCUAGCAGGAACUCCUUAUGAUGAAAGGCACAACCAUGAAAUGACACCAGAUUCUUAUGAGGUAUUGCAGGUCAACAAAAGGAAAGAUCUUCUAAGACCAAUAAUGCAGCAAGCAAUAUUUCAGGCAUAUCAGCAUUCAUUGAGGAAAAUCUCCUAUUACCGGAUCGUGACUAACAAUUCUAAGCUAGGUUGAGCUUAGGUGUUAAGAGUCCGGUUUGAACUUUUUGAUUGGUGUUUGUAAUAUAUUUGAUUAUAGUGAAAAUUUCACCAUAGUUUGUGGUGAAGAUUGGAUGUAGGUCUCAUUGCCUAUGGAGACUGAACCAGGAUAUAUGGUUGUCUCAUCUUCUUCCCUCAUCUUUGUUAGUGUCAUUUCGAUGCAAGACAAAAACGAAAAUAAUCUCCUGUAUUAUUGAUUUACUGCUCUAACAAUUUUAAAGUAUUAUAUUUCCUUUGAUUUCUUGACUCAACCCCCUUCUUAAGGCUUAGGGAAACCUUCACUAAGUAUUGAUGCGACAAAGUUUUAUGUUGGUUGUCUUCAGCCUAACACAACCCUACAUGGAUUCAAAGACAGCCUUGCAUCAUGGCUAUAUUUUGGGAUGCGACAAAGUUUUAUCUAAGCUGUUGGAGGCCUAACACAACUCUACCAGGAUCCAAAGACAUGUCGAGUUUCUUUCGUACGUGUGAUGUGUAUGCUACAUAUUGAGAGUGAAACACUGAGAUGACUAGUACCCUAUUAACCAUUCAAUGAGAUAUAGACUCAACUUAUAUUGUAUUCACAUCUCAUCUGAUAGUGAACAAUGGAGAACUGAGAAUGUAAAACCAUGUAGGUGCAUAUAACAACUAUUCCUUAUUCUCU